UACGUAGGGUGCGAGCGUUAAUCGGAAUUACUGGGCGUAAAGCGUGCGCAGGCGGUGAUGUAAGACCGAUGUGAAAUCCCCGGGCUUAACCUGGGAACUGCAUUGGUGACUGCAUUGCUGGAGUAUGGCAGAGGGGGGGUGGAAUUCCACGUGUAGCAGUGAAAUGCGUAGAGAUGUGGAGGAACACCGAUGGCGAAGGCAGCCCCCUGAGCCAAUACUGACGCUCAUGCACGAAAGCGUGGGGAGCAAACAGG
RNAcentral lists this ribosomal RNA (254 nucleotides) under uncultured bacterium. Its description in RNAcentral is "partial 16S ribosomal RNA". It matches the Rfam family "Bacterial small subunit ribosomal RNA", at positions 524 to 776 of the family's 1533-position model. The record is from RNAcentral.